GCGGAUAUGGUUUAACGGCAGAAUAUUUCCUUGCCAAGGAAAAGAUCCGGGUUCAAUUCCCGGUAUCCGCA
RNAcentral lists this transfer RNA (71 nucleotides) under Candidatus Niyogibacteria bacterium RIFCSPLOWO2_12_FULL_41_13. Its description in RNAcentral is "tRNA-Gly". It matches the Rfam family "tRNA". From Rfam's summary of the family: Transfer RNA (tRNA) molecules are approximately 80 nucleotides in length. The record is from RNAcentral. Lineage: Bacteria; Candidatus Niyogiibacteriota.